GUGGUGGUGCAGGGGCUGGCCGUGGCGGUGGCCUCGCUGCGGCUGCGGCACGCGCUGUGGCGGGCCGUGUUCAACCUCGGCCAGUACGC
This 89-nucleotide transfer RNA is filed under the name Catellatospora coxensis. RNAcentral's name for it is "tRNA-Ala". The record is from RNAcentral. Lineage: Bacteria; Bacillati; Actinomycetota; Actinomycetes; Micromonosporales; Micromonosporaceae.